GAUGAACGCUGGCGGCGUGCCUAAUACAUGCAAGUCGAACGCAUUGUGGUUGAAAUGAUAUGAAGAACUUGUUCAGAUUUGAUUUUCAACAUUGCAAUGAGUGGCGAACGGGUGAGUAACACGUGGGAAACCUACCUCUUAGCAGGGGAUAACAUUUGGAAACAAAUGCUAAUACCGUAUAAUAAUUAAAACCGCAUGGUUUUAGUUUAAAAGAUGGUCUUGCUAUCACUAAGAGAUGGUCCCGCGGUGUAUUAGUUAGUUGGUGAGGUAAUGGCUCACCAAGACAAUGAUACAUAGCCGAGUUGAGAGACUGACCGGCCACAAUGGGACUGAGACACGGCCCAUACUCCUACGGGAGGCAGCAGUAGGGAAUCUUCCACAAUGGACGAAAGUCUGAUGGAGCAACGCCGCGUGUGUGAUGAAGGGUUUCGGCUCGUAAAACACUGUUGUAAGAGAAGAAUGACAUUGAGAGUAACUGUUCAAUGUGUGACGGUAUCUUACCAGAAAGGAACGGCUAAAUACGUGCCAGCAGCCGCGGUAAUACGUAUGUUCCAAGCGUUAUCCGGAUUUAUUGGGCGUAAAGCGAGCGCAGACGGUUAUUUAAGUCUGAAGUGAAAGCCCUCGGCUCAACCGAGGAAUUGCUUUGGAAACUGGAUAACUUGAGUGCAGUAGAGGAAAGUGGAACUCCAUGUGUAGCGGUGAAAUGCGUAGAUAUAUGGAAAGACACCAGUGGCGAAGGCGGCUUUCUGGACUGUAACUGACGUUGAGGCUCGAAAGUGUGGGUAGCAAACAGGAUUAGAUACCCUGGUAGUCCACACUGUAAACGAUGAGUGCUAGUUGUUCGAGGGUUUCCGCCCUUGAGUGACGAA
This 869-nucleotide ribosomal RNA is filed under the name uncultured Weissella sp. Its description in RNAcentral is "bacterial SSU rRNA". It matches the Rfam family "Bacterial small subunit ribosomal RNA", at positions 28 to 850 of the family's 1533-position model. The record is from RNAcentral. Lineage: Bacteria; Bacillati; Bacillota; Bacilli; Lactobacillales; Lactobacillaceae.